CCCACUGACCGCGUCCCUCAGUGCCACACCCACACGGUUCUUGAACACCUCCAGGAGCAGCGACUGCACCGCCUCCCUGGGCAGCCUGGGCCACUGCAGCACCACUUUCUGAGAAGUUGCUCCUAAUAUCCAGUCCCAUCAGGGGUUGUGAUUACGUUUACUAGCUCCCAGCCCUGCUCUUGCAGCACGGGGACAGGCUUUAUGCAGAGGUGAAAGAAGGGUACAUCUGCCGAGGUCCACCCAUGGCCUGAAUGCUCCUCAGAUGAUGUCCUGCCAUGGGACCAUGCCUGCAGCUUGACAUGAGCCUCUACUUACAGGACAGUAAAGUACACCUGCCCUGUCCUCCCUGACAACUACUCUCCUAUGAAGUAGAGUGUGUACAAAGACAGAACUAGUAACAGCAUGGACCAUGUAAAGGACCAGAUGGAAAACAGCUUUUCUGAGGCUACUACAUCUUCCUGGAGAGUUAUUGGGGAGAUGAGCUGGAUGAUGAUAAUUUGCAAUUUGAUUCCUGAAAACUGGUUUGAUUCCAGGCUAAUUUUCUCUCCGUUAUAUCCAUUCCACUUCACUCUCUUCAUUGAGGAUGACGGGUGUAAAUAAUAGCAGCCAAUUGUUUCCCUGUGACCUUAUGCAAAAAUGAAUGAGAUCCUUCAAGACUUGGUUGUCUGUGCAUUCAUAAUAAUAAGCUAUCAGUCCUACCCCUCUGCUAAGGGUUCAUCAGCAGAAAUGAGUUCAUACCUCUAAGCCAACCACCAGACCAACAUCUCAGCUUAAAUCACCAAUGGGAUGAAGAAGCACGUCUGAGUUACUGCAAAACCUUCACUAACUCCAUCCCUGACAGCACCUUUUGGAUUCCCCAGAAGCGGACAUUGCCAUUAAUUAGUGCCUUCCAUGUAAUACCAGCCUGAUGGAAAGAGAAGACAAGCCUGACAAAAUGGCUCUUGUGUCAAAGGUGUUGAUAAUGGACAGAUAAAUAACCAUGCUUCAGCUGCACCUAAGCCCUGGAGACAUAAGCUUCUUGCACAAAACUGUUUCUUGUAGUAACUAUUAAUUUUGUGUAGUGCACUCAGUAAAAGACAAUGAUUGUUCACAAUGUUGAAUAUACUGUAUUUAAUUUUAUUUAUGAAAAAAAUCUUUGAAGAUG
Gallus gallus (chicken) is the source of this 1144-nucleotide long non-coding RNA. The record is from Ensembl. NCBI's taxonomy places the organism in Eukaryota, Metazoa, Chordata, Aves, Galliformes, Phasianidae.